Bactrocera dorsalis (oriental fruit fly) is the source of this 805-nucleotide long non-coding RNA. RefSeq lists it as uncharacterized. The transcript is spliced from 3 exons. Lineage: Eukaryota; Metazoa; Arthropoda; Insecta; Diptera; Tephritidae. The record is from RefSeq and is a predicted model, not a curated record.
CGUUUUCUCCCCAUUCAGACUCCACCACAUACUACACAACGCCAACAGCAACGGCGCCGUCGUGUCCAUACAUGCACUCCACAUUUACUCAGAGUCAGUCAAUUGGAGUUUUUCAAUCGCGAUCGGUCUACGGUCAAAUCGCGCGCCAGUUCGUGUUGCGGAAAAAUAGUAAUAAACGCGUAAGAAAUUUAAAGUAAAAGUGCUUUUUAAAUUUUAUUUUUAUUUAAUUUAAAAUCUUUAGUCAGAGUUGUGCAAAUUAAAUAAAAACUAAAAUUAAGUGAAAAGCUGUAAGUGUUGUAGUGAAAGCAAAAAAUGUGUGUAAAUAAAUAGUGUGCAUAGGUAAUUUUGUUUUUUGUGUUUAUGUUUGUUAAUGGUGUUAUUAGUGAAGUGAGUGAAAGUCGAAUAUUCUAUAUCAUUCAUAAAUAGUGGCGUAGUGAAUUAGUGAAUAAAUUUCUGUUUAAACAUGUUUCAUAAAAUGUAAAGUCAAGCGUUCGUUUUGUUCGAUGUUCGUCUCUCGUCGUUUACUAAUUAACCAACAACGUCGUUCGUAUAACAAACAAACAAUAUCAAACGAAGAGUAAUAGUUAUAUUUUGCUUUGAGACUUAAAGGCUAUGUAGCUGACUCUAUACAGUAAAAAACAAGGACAUACAGAUAACAUGGAAAUGAUCAACACCGCGAUAUGCGCUCUUCUGUACUUCCGCAUUCGUCGUGAAAUUGGACAAGUGGUCCAAAUAUCGCGGCUGGCAUUUACGGUGUAUUCAACGUUUUGGCCUACGCUGCCGGCUCAUAUUUGCUGUACUUGUC